GUGCUUGCUUCAGCAGCACAUAUACUAAAAUUGGAACCAUACAGAGAAGAUUAGUAUGGCCCCUGUGCAAGAAUGACAUGCAAAUUUGUGGAGUGUUUCGUUUUUAA
This 107-nucleotide small nuclear RNA is filed under the name Nannospalax galili (Upper Galilee mountains blind mole rat). Lineage: Eukaryota; Metazoa; Chordata; Mammalia; Rodentia; Spalacidae. The record is from RNAcentral.